GAUGAAGAACGUAGCGAAAUGCGAUAAGUAAUGUGAAUUGCAGAAUUCAGUGAAUCAUCGAAUCUUUGAACGCACAUUGCGCCCUCUGGUAUUCCGGGGGGCAUGCCUGUUCGAGCGUCAUUAUAACCACUCAAGCUCUCGCUUGGUAUUGGGGUUCGCGGUUUCGCGGCCCCUAAAAUCAGUGGCGGUGCCUGUCGGCUCUACGCGUAGUAAUACUCCUCGCGAUUGAGUCCGGUAGGUCUACUUGCCAGCAACCCCUAAUUUUUUUUAAGGUUGACCUCGGAUCAGGUAGGGAUACCCGCUGAACUUACGCAUAUCAAUAAGCGGAGGA
RNAcentral lists this unclassified non-coding RNA (331 nucleotides) under soil metagenome. Its description in RNAcentral is "partial contains 5.8S ribosomal RNA, internal transcribed spacer 2, and large subunit ribosomal RNA". The stretch from base 1 to 120 matches the Rfam family "5.8S ribosomal RNA", at positions 35 to 154 of the family's 154-position model. The record is from RNAcentral.